UGAAUUGUCCUCGUCGUUAAUAUGUGCAUAACAUGAGCGAGCGGCGCGCUGACGAACAAUGAGGCCGUUUCAUCUUCAGCCGAGUGCCACCGUGAUGAAUAUUCAAAGUGGGGAAACCGGGCUUUAAACGACUUCUUCGUCUCCCGUGGAUGUUUGGUUUUUGUCACGCAGAGAGAACAAACCUUCCUCUCCCUCCGGCCUCUUGAAGAACAAAAAGAAGCCUGAAUUUGGAUGCUGAGUUUUCAAGGAUGCCUCGGUCUGCGGCGCCGCCAGACUGCUUUAAAAGCCUCCGUUGACUCGUCCCGCCUGCCGUCUCUGGAGCUGAAGCUGGAUUGGAACAGACCAAAGUACAGUCCAAUCACGAUGCCAGCUGCCUCUCAAAAGGCUCCUUCAUCUGGCAGGUGGCAGCACUUCUUCUGAGGGGAAGCUGAGCUGGCCCAGCAGAACUUUGGAGAUGUGUUCCAGUGGUUGGUGGAUGUGUGGGGAGAUAGAGAGAGACCUUUGAAUUGUUCACAAAGGAAAACAGGGAACCCAUUGGUUUUGUAUGUUUUUGUGGUGAUUUUGUGUCUUUUUGUGGUGAUUUUGUGUCUUUUUGUGGUGAUUUUGUGUCUUUUGUUGAUGAUUCAUUUAAAAAGCAGGAGACUAAAAUCUAAAACUAACCUAUAAAGCUCAUUUUCAUCACCAGACUUUGUUUUUUAAACCAAUAUUCCGAUUUUUUUUUCAACAGAACAUCAAUUUAGAAAAAAAAAACCUUAAAAAUGAAGAAAGAGGUUCAGGAUGAUUUAUUAAUAUUCUGCAUUAUUUAGGUCUCUUUGUGGCACACAGAAUAAUAAAAUAGUCCAGAUUUAUUAAUGCAGCCAUCCAAAAAAAAUAAAAUAUGAAUAAAUAAUUAGAGUAUUUGCAUGUAUUGGAGGAAUUUUAGACAUUUAAUAAAUAUAUGGAUGCUUUAAAAGAAUAAACAGCUCAUUAGUUUCAAUGAAACUAGUUUUUAGUUUGAAAUAAGAGAAGUCGAUAAAGAUUUGGUGUAAAAUGAAGUUAAAUCUGCUUUUUAAAUACAUAAAGCUUCAUGUUGGGGUCAAAAUGUGUAAAAAUGAGAUGAUUAUUGUCGAGGAAUGACUUGAGUUUGUCUCCAGUGAAGGGAUCCGAUUCAAUUAAAGCUUCUUAAACUGAUGAACCCUGACUCUGCUGCAGUAAUUGUGUUUUUUCCAGGUUGUGUUGAUGAUUCAGUCCCAUGUAAUCCUAAAUAACGCGUUUCUGCCUCCUCCUCACUCUUCUUUCUCUCCUUUGUUGAUGUUUUUACCCGAAAAUUCUGCUUUCUCUGCUCAUUAAUCUCCAGAUGAUUCACAUUCAGCAUGAUUUAAUCCCACCUUUGUUCAUUUUUCAUUUAAUGUUGGUUUAUUUUCAGGUUUUAGUUGUUAAAUUAAAAUGUCUUUGCAGCACUGCGGAUAAUUUUAGGGUUAAAGAUUAUAAUUAGAGCUGGAUUUAUUUUUAAAACUUGAUUUUUGGCUGCAGUGUUUGUACUGAUUGUGUUCAGGUGUUGACUGGAAAUGCAGAUAAAGAUGUCUUUGUGGUGAUUUUACGUCUUUUUGUGGUGAUUUUGUCUCUUUGUGGUGAUUUUGUGUCUUUUUGUGGUGACUGUGUCUUUCAAUACAAAUUUUGCAUCCUUUUGUGGUAAUUUUGCAUCUUUUUGUGGUAAUUUUGCAUCUUUUGUGGUGAUUUUACAUCUUUUUGUGGUAAUUUUAAAUCUUUUGCGGUGAUUUUACAUCUUUUUGUGGUUAUUUUAAAUCUUAUUGUGGUGAUUUUACAUUUUUUUGUGGUUAUUUUGCAUCUUGUGUGGUGAUUUUGCAUCUUUUGUGGGGGUUUUGCAUCUUUUGUGGGGGUUUUGUAUGUUUUUGUGGUAAUUUUACAUCUUUUUGUGAUGAUUUUGUGUCUGUUAAUUUUGAGUCUUUUAGGACUGAUUUUGUGUAAUUUCAUGGUAAUUUUGCCUCUUUUUGUGGUGAUUUUUUCAUCUUUUAGUGGUUAUUUUAAAUCUUAUUGUGGUUAUUUUGCAUCUUUUUGUGAUUAUUUUGCAUCUUUUGUGGUGAUUUUACAUCUUUUUGUGGUUAUUUUGCAUCUUUUGUGGUGAUUUUACAUCUUUUUGUGGU
Amphiprion ocellaris (clown anemonefish) is the source of this 2144-nucleotide long non-coding RNA. RefSeq lists it as uncharacterized. The record is from RefSeq and is a predicted model, not a curated record. The transcript is spliced from 3 exons. Lineage: Eukaryota; Metazoa; Chordata; Actinopteri; Pomacentridae.